Molecule: unclassified non-coding RNA, 241 nt
Filed under: plant metagenome
Description: partial contains small subunit ribosomal RNA, internal transcribed spacer 1, and 5.8S ribosomal RNA
Source: RNAcentral
UUUCCGUAGGUGAACCUGCGGAAGGAUCAUUAAAGAGUAAGGGUCUUCGGGCCCGAUCUCCAACCCCUUGUUUAACUACCAUGUUGCUUUGGCGGGCCCGUCUCACGACCGCCGGAAGUUUGGCUUCGACCAAACUUCUGGCCCGUGCCCGUCAGUGGCCCCUUCAAAUUCUUGAUCAAGUAUGAUGUCUUAGUUAAAAACUUAAUAGUUAAAACUUUCAACAACGGAUCUCUUGGUUCUG